This 1169-nucleotide ribosomal RNA is filed under the name uncultured bacterium. RNAcentral's name for it is "bacterial SSU rRNA". It matches the Rfam family "Bacterial small subunit ribosomal RNA", at positions 17 to 1220 of the family's 1533-position model. The record is from RNAcentral.
UCCUGGCCUCAGAGCGAACGCUGGCGGCAGGCUUAACACAUGCAAGUCGAGCGGGCGUAGCAAUACGUCAGCGGCAGACGGGUGAGUAACACGUGGGAACGUACCUUUUGGUUCGGAACAACACAGGGAAACUUGUGCUAAUACCGGAUAAGCCCUUACGGGGAAAGAUUUAUCGCCGAAAGAUCGGCCCGCGUCUGAUUAGCUAGUUGGUGAGGUAACGGCUCACCAAGGCGACGAUCAGUAGCUGGUCUGAGAGGAUGAUCAGCCACACUGGGACUGAGACACGGCCCAGACUCCUACGGGAGGCAGCAGUGGGGAAUAUUGGACAAUGGGCGAAAGCCUGAUCCAGCCAUGCCGCGUGAGUGAUGAAGGCCCUAGGGUUGUAAAGCUCUUUUGUGCGGGAAGAUAAUGACGGUACCGCAAGAAUAAGCCCCGGCUAACUUCGUGCCAGCAGCCGCGGUAAUACGAAGGGGGCUAGCGUUGCUCGGAAUCACUGGGCGUAAAGGGUGCGUAGGCGGGUCUUUAAGUCAGGGGUGAAAUCCUGGAGCUCAACUCCAGAACUGCCUUUGAUACUGAGGAUCUUGAGUUCGGGAGAGGUGAGUGGAACUGCGAGUGUAGAGGUGAAAUUCGUAGAUAUUCGCAAGAACACCAGUGGCGAAGGCGGCUCACUGGCCCGAUACUGACGCUGAGGCACGAAAGCGUGGGGAGCAAACAGGAUUAGAUACCCUGAUAGUCCACGCCGUAAACGAUGAAUGCCAGCCGUUGGAGGGUUUACUCUCCAGUGGCGCAGUUAACGCUUUUAAGCAUUCCGCCUGGGGGAGUACGGUCGCAAGAUUAAAACUCAGACGGAAUUGACGGGGGUCCCGCACCAGCGGUGGAAGCAUGGUGGAUUAUUUCGACGCAACGCGCAAAUCCUUUACCAGUCCCUUGACAUCCCGUCGGCGGUUUCAAAAGAUGGAUUCCUUCAUUUCGCUUGACUGGGACAGGUGCUGCAUGCUGUCGUCAGCUCGGGUCGUGGGAUGUUAGGUAAGGUCCGCUACUGAGGCAACCCCCGGCCUUUUAGUUGUCUUACAGUUCAGUGGAGACUUUCUAAAGAACCUGCCGGUGUAUAAACCAAGAAGGGGGGAAGAUCGUCAAGCUCUUAGGCCUUUUAAGGGCUGUUCUUGACG